GCACUCACUUCGGCAGCACACGUACUGAAACUGGAACGACACAGAGAAGAUGAGCGUGGCCCCCGUGCAAGGAUGACAUGCACAUUCAUGAAGAAUUCCACCAUUUU
This is a small nuclear RNA of Vicugna pacos (alpaca), 107 nucleotides long. Lineage: Eukaryota; Metazoa; Chordata; Mammalia; Artiodactyla; Camelidae. The record is from Ensembl.